GGGGGGAUGGCGCAGUUGGGAGCGCGUUAGACUGAAGAUCUAAAGGUCGCUGGUUCGAUCCCGGCUCACCCCA
RNAcentral lists this transfer RNA (73 nucleotides) under Verticillium dahliae VdLs.17. Its description in RNAcentral is "tRNA-Phe (GAA) (tRNA-Phe-GAA-1 1 to 7)". It matches the Rfam family "tRNA". Rfam says of the family: Transfer RNA (tRNA) molecules are approximately 80 nucleotides in length. Their secondary structure includes four short double-helical elements and three loops (D, anti-codon, and T loops). Further hydrogen bonds mediate the characteristic L-shaped molecular structure. tRNAs have two regions of fundamental functional importance: the anti-codon, which is responsible for specific mRNA codon recognition, and the 3' end, to which the tRNAs corresponding amino acid is attached (by aminoacyl-tRNA synthetases). tRNAs cope with the degeneracy of the genetic code in two manners: having more than one tRNA (with a specific anti-codon) for a particular amino acid; and 'wobble' base-pairing, i.e. permitting non-standard base-pairing at the 3rd anti-codon position. The record is from RNAcentral. Lineage: Eukaryota; Fungi; Ascomycota; Sordariomycetes; Glomerellales; Plectosphaerellaceae. RNAcentral also lists the same sequence under 2 other names.